RNAcentral lists this ribosomal RNA (755 nucleotides) under uncultured bacterium. Its description in RNAcentral is "bacterial SSU rRNA". It matches the Rfam family "Bacterial small subunit ribosomal RNA", at positions 8 to 796 of the family's 1533-position model. The record is from RNAcentral.
AGAGUUUGAUCCUGGCUCAGAUCAACGCUGGCGGCGCGCCUAACACAUGCAAGUCGAACGAGAAAGUGGAGCAAUCCAUGAGUACAGUGGCGUACGGGUGAGUAACACGUGGGUAAUCUACCUUUUAGUGAGGAAUAACCCUGGGAAACCGGGGCUAAUACCGCAUAAGCCUGAGAAGGGAAAGUCGAAAGACGCUGAAAGAGGAGCCCGCGGCCGAUUAGCUAGUUGGUGAGGUAAGAGCCCACCAAGGCAGAGAUCGGUAGCCGGCCUGAGAGGGCACACGGCCACACUGGCACUGAAACACGGGCCAGACUCCUACGGGAGGCAGCAGUGGGGAAUCUUGCACAAUGGGGGAAACCCUGAUGCAGCGACGCCGCGUGAGCGAUGAAGCCCUUCGGGGUGUAAAGCUCUUUCGUCAGGGAAGAUAGUGACGGUACCUGGAGAAGCAGCUGCGGCUAACUACGUGCCAGCAGCCGCGGUAAUACGUAGGCAGCAAGCGUUGUUCGGAGUUACUGGGCGUAAAGGGUGUGUAGGCGGUUCUUUAAGUUUGGUGUGAAAUCUCCCGGCUCAACCGGGAGGGUGCGCCGAAUACUGAGGGACUAGAGUGCGGGAGAGGAAAGUGGAAUUCCUGGUGUAGCGGUGAAAUGCGUAGAUAUCAGGAGGAACACCGGUGGUGUAGACGGCUUUCUGGACCGUAACUGACGCUGAGACACGAAAGCGUGGGUAGCAAACAGGAUUAGAUACCCUAGUAGUCC